CUUCGGUGAGGAUGUGAUGACGAGUCUGAAAGGGAACGUCCGAGUGCCCUGCUUCGUGCUGUGUUCUGCAGCACGAGAUCUGGGACCUUGGGCUGGGAUUUGAGUGACCUAGAGGCAUUUGUCUGAGAAGG
This is a small nucleolar RNA of Anser brachyrhynchus (Pink-footed goose), 131 nucleotides long. NCBI's taxonomy places the organism in Eukaryota, Metazoa, Chordata, Aves, Anseriformes, Anatidae. The record is from Ensembl.